Molecule: ribosomal RNA, 486 nt
Filed under: Bacillus tropicus
Lineage: Bacteria; Bacillati; Bacillota; Bacilli; Caryophanales; Bacillaceae
Description: bacterial SSU rRNA
Rfam family: Bacterial small subunit ribosomal RNA
Source: RNAcentral
CGUCAGCUCGUGUCGUGAGAUGUUGGGUUAAGUCCCGCAACGAGCGCAACCCUUGAUCUUAGUUGCCAUCAUUAAGUUGGGCACUCUAAGGUGACUGCCGGUGACAAACCGGAGGAAGGUGGGGAUGACGUCAAAUCAUCAUGCCCCUUAUGACCUGGGCUACACACGUGCUACAAUGGACGGUACAAAGAGCUGCAAGACCGCGAGGUGGAGCUAAUCUCAUAAAACCGUUCUCAGUUCGGAUUGUAGGCUGCAACUCGCCUACAUGAAGCUGGAAUCGCUAGUAAUCGCGGAUCAGCAUGCCGCGGUGAAUACGUUCCCGGGCCUUGUACACACCGCCCGUCACACCACGAGAGUUUGUAACACCCGAAGUCGGUGGGGUAACCUUUUGGAGCCAGCCGCCUAAGGUGGGACAGAUGAUUGGGGUGAAGUCGUAACAAGGUAGCCGUAUCGGAAGGUGCGGCUGGAUCACCUCCUUUCUAUGGA